UUGGCCAAGUAAAUAUAUCACUAAAUUAAGCUGACCUGUUUCUUUUUCCUCUUUUAAUAUGUCUACUAGGAAGCUGAGUACGUGGCUUGGCUUUCAUCUCGGUUGGACGGCACCACCAAGACCUCUCUCAUUUUCCAGGCCUCUCUUCCCGUGAUUUGUUCAAGGAGAGCAUCCCCACUGGGCACUAACCAGCCCCUCUGACACCCUCGUCCCGUGGGCCCCGUGACCGAGAGCGUCAAGCGAGAAUUCAGGCCAUUGUUGGUGUGGUGUGUGUAUGUUCUUUGGACUAACAUGCACAUUUAUGUUAUUUACGGCAAGCGAUACUGUCUUUGCGUUGAAUAUAUUGUUUUUCUUUUUAAUUAAAGUUUUUUUCAAAGUGA
Long non-coding RNA from Carlito syrichta (Philippine tarsier), 380 nucleotides. RefSeq lists it as uncharacterized. Lineage: Eukaryota; Metazoa; Chordata; Mammalia; Primates; Tarsiidae. The transcript has 2 exons. The record is from RefSeq and is a predicted model, not a curated record.